UUAUUCAUUUUGUUCUCCUUUUUGGUGCCUGAAAAUGGGUCCAAUUUUCUGGUAUUAUUGUUUCAUUCAAUAAUUCUUUCUUCUUUUUGGUUUGGUAAGUGGACACCUUUUCGUACCCAAAAAGAGAAUUUGCUUUACUUAACAUAAGAACCCUCUCUCCUUUUCCCCCUUUCUUCAUGUCUAUUGGGGUUUUUCAGAUUCAUGAUUGUUCUUUCUUUUCCUUUUUCUCUGGGUUUCUACUGUUUUGAUCUGCAUAUAUAUACAUAUGUGUGUGUUUUUGUGUAGUCAAGGAAUGAAGCCUAGGAGGGAUUUGGUACGAAAAUCAUAAAGCGAUAUUGGUGAGGUUCAAUCCGAAGAUGGAUUUUACAACGAUUGUGAAGUACGAUCUCUGAUUGAGCCGCGCCAAUAUCACUUUUGUAUUAUAUUGCCUUUCUUCUUCUAUAGGGUUUUUCUAUUUCAUUCGAACCCUAAUUUUUUGUUUUUUUUUUAUUGUUUUUCUCAACCAACACACGGAUAUCAGAAAGCCAGUUAAUCAUCAUGAUCAUCAGCACAACGCGCUUAAUCUGAUCACAAACGUGCCAUCAGUUGUUGAAUGUGGACCUUUUAAAGUACAUCAAGCUGAUCUUUGAUUUGAUAACCAAGCAAAAACUAAGAUAGUUUCUGAAGAUCAACGUGAAAAAGCUUAUUGUGAAGGCUUGCAAGUGCUGAAGCUUCAUCUCAUCAGCCUCCAUGGCCAUCCUUUUUCAAUAAUCUUGUGAUUGUUGAAAAUCCGGAGGAAGCAAUUAAAGGGAAAAGGUUUGCGGAUCAAAAUGCAGAGAGUAACGCUCAACUGUCUUGGUGCCGGUGGAUUGGCAGCGACGGAGGAGGAGGAGGAGUGCGAUUGCGUGGGCAUGCAGUUGGUGUUGGAUUGAUUGAGGUGAGAGGGGAGGAAGACAGCCACGUAAGGGAGGAAAAGUGUGUGAUAAUUAGGGCAGAGGGAAAAAGAUGACACCUGAAUAUUUCAGAUCUGGUAGGAGGGUUUGGAAGGGUAUCUUGAACGUCAUACAAUGGCGUCGGCACUUGUUCCUUACUCUCCCAACUGGCGACGAUGAGUUUAGUGUCUUCAGAUACACUUUCUUCCGACCAUGUCUCUCUCUCAAUUGUCCUUUUAUGCAUUGGAAAAUAUUUCUUUUCUCGUAGUGUACAUCAUAAUUGUUAUACUUUAUAUAACCCAUAAAAGUAAGAUAUCAAUAUGAUAAAAAUCACAAAAUAUACUACUCAUAUUAAAUAGUAAGAUUGCAUGUA
Molecule: long non-coding RNA, 1284 nt
Organism: Cucumis sativus (cucumber)
Lineage: Eukaryota; Viridiplantae; Streptophyta; Magnoliopsida; Cucurbitales; Cucurbitaceae
Exons: 3
Source: RefSeq, a predicted model, not a curated record